CCUACGGGAGACAGCAGUGAGGAAUAUUGGUCAAUGGGCGGGAGCCUGAACCAGCCAAGUAGCGUGAAGGAUGACAGCCCUAUGGGUUGUAAACCUCUUUUAUCAGGGAAUAAAGUGCCCCACGUGUGGGGGUUUGAGUGUACCUGAUGAAAAAGCUUCGGCUAAUUCCGUGCCAGCAGCCGCGGUAAUACGGAAGAUGCGAGCGUUAUCCGGUUUUAUUGGGUUAAAAGGGUGCGUAGGCGGUUCCAUAAGUCAGCGGUAAAUCGUGCGGCUCAACCGUACCGUGCCGUUGAAACUGUGGGACUUGAGUAUGCGCAGGGUACGUGGAAUGCGUGGUGUAGCGGUGAAAUGCUUAGAUAUCACGAAGAACUCCGAUCGCGAAGGCAUUGUACCGGAGCAAGACUGACGCUGAGGCUCGAAAGUGCGGGUAUCAAACAGGAUUAGAUACCCUUGUAGUC
RNAcentral lists this ribosomal RNA (458 nucleotides) under uncultured bacterium. RNAcentral describes it as "partial 16S ribosomal RNA". It matches the Rfam family "Bacterial small subunit ribosomal RNA", at positions 338 to 795 of the family's 1533-position model. The record is from RNAcentral.